Molecule: long non-coding RNA, 1568 nt
Organism: Lutra lutra (Eurasian river otter)
Lineage: Eukaryota; Metazoa; Chordata; Mammalia; Carnivora; Mustelidae
Exons: 4
Source: RefSeq, a predicted model, not a curated record
AAAAUGGACUUCUUCCUCAUAUGAUGACACCAGGAAUGACUUCAGGUGAGAUUCUGACCCAGCUCCCUGUCUACAGACCCAUGGCUUUAUAUUGGAGGCUGCAAAGUUUAACACUUUCAUGAUCAUGCAAGUGGCAGACACACUCUCCUUACAACUGGGUUACACACAAAUGGUAACAGAAGGUAUGUGCCUGCAGAAAACACGGGAGACUGAGCAUGGACCCUCUCCACAGACCACACCAGCGAGAAAGAGGACCUGGAGUCAAAUUAUCAUGGAUAGCCCUAGGCCACUGGGCAAGAUGAAAUGAGCACAUGAUUCCUGGCACAAUACUCAAUGCCUAAUGGGUGAUCAGGACAAGAUGUUUGUUUUGGGGCUCAAACUGAACCAUCAGUUCUUCUUGGCUUUUGGGCUGGAAUUACACCAUCAGUUGUCCUGGAUCUCCAGCUUGCUGACUGUUGAUCUUGGAAUGUCUCAGUAUCCAUAACCAUGUGGUAACCAGACCACACAGAUGUGAGAAGCCAAGAUGAGCCAGAAACUACCCAGGGGAACUUGGAUGUCAAGAGAUGGGUAAGAGAAUGGGGUCAAGAUCAAGCAGAUUUCCAGACUUCAGAGUUCCAGAGGUGUCAUGCCGUAAGAAAGUUGGGGAAAGGAGUGGUGGGAAAGCCAAAGAGGCAAGCAAGAAAGGCUUCACAAAGCCUCAGGAUGAGAGGACUUUGAAACUGUAGGCAAGUUAUGACCUAAAAAGAAGUUUUCACCCAAAAGGCCAAGAGCCAGCAACUGACUACUGCAAUGGGAAGGAGGAAGGAAAGGAGUAGUAACUAAGUGCUUUGAAUGACAUGUGCUUAGAGUUCACAAUGUGGAUAGAGAUCUGUGCUCAUCCUGCUUAAUGAUACUUUACCAUUGCCUAGCAGGAAGGAGAGAAUGCUUUAAUUAGUGGAGAAGCCCCUCUAAAUCUUUAAAUCCCAUUUCCAACAUAAAUUUCUAAUGUUCACAAUCUGCUUUCUAGAUUUUUUCCCAUUCCCAGAAUUUCCUUGUCACUAAGUGAAGAACUCUGGUCAGAUUCCUUCCUUCAUUCCACAUUGUAUACUUAGUUACUGAGGAUCUCUGUGUCUUCUUCAUCCUGGAUUCUUCACUGGAAAAGUUUGCCUCUCACUGACAGACAUCUCAGAUAACCCUGUAGAUCUCAGUGAUUGAGCUAAGAGGAUCUGGGUUUUCACCUCCUUCUGCCACAUUACCUAUUUGCAUAGUCCAGCCCAUUACCUUGUGGUUAGCAUUUCUAAUGGUAGGAUAUCUUUUCUAACAUUGUGUCUAGCUGAAUAGGAUCUUAUACAAGAUUAAUGAGGAAGACUUCGUUUAUAAAAUAGGGGUCUUACAUGCCUUCGAGUAUCAUGAAAUGUUCUGUGUUACCUGAUGUUGAGACCUAGGUGCCAACUCCCUCUUUUCUUGGUUCUCGGUUGGACAGCCGUUUCCUGGGCUCCUUGUUCCAAAUAUCUACACUUGAUCUCUCUGGCUACUUUGCCUAGAAUAUCCUCCUCUGUCUAAUAAGUCUGUGGCUCUGCAAUGACUUG